UUAAGUUAUUAAGGGCGCACGGUGGAUGCCUUGGCACUAGAAGCCGAUGAAGGACGUUACUAACAACGAUAUGCUUUGGGGAGCUGUAAGUAAGCUUUGAUCCAGAGAUUUCCGAAUGGGGAAACCCAGCAUGAGUUAUGUCAUGUUAUCGAUAUGUGAAUACAUAGCAUAUCAGAAGGCACACCCGGAGAACUGAAACAUCUUAGUACCCGGAGGAAGAGAAAGAAAAUUCGAUUCCCUUAGUAGCGGCGAGCGAAACGGGAAGAGCCCAAACCAACAACCUUGCUUGUUGGGGUUGUAGGACACUCUAUACGGAGUUACAAAGGACGACAUUAGACGAAUCAUCUGGAAAGAUGAAUCAAAGAAGGUAAUAAUCCUGUAGUCGAAAAUGUUGUCUCUCUUGAGUGGAUCCUGAGUACGACGGAGCACGUGAAAUUCCGUCGGAAUCUGGGAGGACCAUCUCCUAAGGCUAAAUACUCUCUAGUGACCGAUAGUGAACCAGUACCGUGAGGGAAAGGUGAAAAGCACCCCGGAAGGGGAGUGAAAUAGAACCUGAAACCGUGUGCUUACAAGUAGUCAGAGCCCGUUAAUGGGUGAUGGCGUGCCUUUUGUAGAAUGAACCGGCGAGUUACGAUUUGAUGCAAGGUUAAGCAGUAAAUGUGGAGCCGUAGCGAAAGCGAGUCUGAAUAGGGCGUUUAGUAUUUGGUCGUAGACCCGAAACCAGGUGAUCUACCCUUGGUCAGGUUGAAGUUCAGGUAACACUGAAUGGAGGACCGAACCGACUUACGUUGAAAAGUGAGCGGAUGAACUGAGGGUAGCGGAGAAAUUCCAAUCGAACCUGGAGAUAGCUGGUUCUCUCCGAAAUAGCUUUAGGGCUAGCCUCAAGUGAUGAUUAUUGGAGGUAGAGCACUGUUUGGACGAGGGGCCCCUCUCGGGUUACCGAAUUCAGACAAACUCCGAAUGCCAAUUAAUUUAACUUGGGAGUCAGAACAUGGGUGAUAAGGUCCNNNNNNNNNNNNNNNNNNNNNNNNNNNNNNNNNNNNNNNNNNNNNNNNNNNNNNNNUGUUCGAAAGGGAAACAGCCCAGACCACCAGCUAAGGUCCCAAAAUAUAUGUUAAGUGGAAAAGGAUGUGGCGUUGCCCAGACAACUAGGAUGUUGGCUUAGAAGCAGCCAUCAUUUAAAGAGUGCGUAAUAGCUCACUAGUCGAGUGACACUGCGCCGAAAAUGUACCGGGGCUAAACAUAUUACCGAAGCUGUGGAUUGUCCUUUGGACAAUGGUAGGAGAGCGUUCUAAGGGCGUUGAAGCAUGAUCGUAAGGACAUGUGGAGCGCUUAGAAGUGAGAAUGCCGGUGUGAGUAGCGAAAGACGGGUGAGAAUCCCGUCCACCGAUUGACUAAGGUUUCCAGAGGAAGGCUCGUCCGCUCUGGGUUAGUCGGGUCCUAAGCUGAGGCCGGCAGGCGUAGGCGAUGGAUAACAGGUUGAUAUUCCUGUACCACCUAUAAUCGUUUUAAUCGAUGGGGGGACGCAGUAGGAUAGGCGAAGCGUGCGAUUGGAUUGCACGUCUAAGCAGUAAGGCUGAGUAUUAGGCAAAUCCGGUACUCGUUAAGGCUGAGCUGUGAUGGGGAGAAGACAUUGUGUCUUCGAGUCGUUGAUUUCACACUGCCGAGAAAAGCCUCUAGAUAGAAAAUAGGUGCCCGUACCGCAAACCGACACAGGUAGUCAAGAUGAGAAUUCUAAGGUGAGCGAGCGAACUCUCGUUAAGGAACUCGGCAAAAUGACCCCGUAACUUCGGGAGAAGGGGUGCUCUUUAGGGUUAACGCCCAGAAGAGCCGCAGUGAAUAGGCCCAAGCGACUGUUUAUCAAAAACACAGGUCUCUGCUAAACCGUAAGGUGAUGUAUAGGGGCUGACGCCUGCCCGGUGCUGGAAGGUUAAGAGGAGUGGUUAGCUUCUGUGAAGCUACGAAUCGAAGCCCCAGUAAACGGCGGCCGUAACUAUAACGGUCCUAAGGUAGCGAAAUUCCUUGUCGGGUAAGUUCCGACCCGCACGAAAGGCGUAACGAUUUGGGCACUGUCUCAACGAGAG
Molecule: ribosomal RNA, 2084 nt
Filed under: Staphylococcus aureus
Lineage: Bacteria; Bacillati; Bacillota; Bacilli; Caryophanales; Staphylococcaceae
Description: 23S ribosomal RNA
Rfam family: Bacterial large subunit ribosomal RNA
Source: RNAcentral